UAGCUACGUACGGACAGGAUAAGCGCUGAAGGCAUCUAAGUGCGAAGCCCACCUCGAGAUGAGAUCUCCCACCGGGUAACCGGGUAAGGACCCUGGUAGAACACCAGGUUGAUAGGCCGGAAGUGUAAGCGCAGUAAUGUGUUCAGCGGACCGGUACUAAUAGUCCGAGGGCUUGAUAUUCG
RNAcentral lists this ribosomal RNA (182 nucleotides) under Acidimicrobiia bacterium. RNAcentral describes it as "partial 23S ribosomal RNA". It matches the Rfam family "Bacterial large subunit ribosomal RNA", at positions 2746 to 2925 of the family's 2925-position model. The record is from RNAcentral. Lineage: Bacteria; Bacillati; Actinomycetota; Acidimicrobiia.